CUAUUUCCUCCAUAGUUAGCCCACAAAUCAUCCCGUCUGUCACUACACCACCUCCACCUGAUGUGCCGGCUGUUUCAGAACUAGUGUUGCCCCAGUUAAGAAAAACACUGUCAAGGUUUUGAGGCUGCACUGCACUGGUCUGACCAGCAGAAGCAUCUCCACGCAUUCCAUGUUGUACUGCUGGUGGUAGGUUGGACGACAAUGAUGCACUUACCAUGCUUCCACUUGCUAUAACUCCACCACUACCCUCAUUACCAUUACCAUAAUUAUUAUCACUAGAAUUACCGUGAGGAUAACCAUAAGAUUUAUUAUUGCCUUUACCAUAAUGAUGAUCAUAAUCAUUAGCACUGAGAGUAGCAUAAUGAUGAUCAUCACCAUUUAUGUCGCCAAUGCCAUUAGCAUGAUGAUAACCAUGACCAUAAGUAGCACCUGCACCAAGAUUAGUUGAGUGGUUCCCAUUUCCAAGAAUGCCAUAGUCAACUUGUGAUGCACCACCGCUUAGCCAACUGGCUUGGUUAAUAUCUCUUGCUCCUUGGGACCUCAUAUGGAAUCUGUAACUUCCCUCACUUUCUUGAGAUUCCGAAUAGUUCUUGGAAGUAUUAUUAGAAUGUGGUGGCCUAGAGCUUGGCAUGGUUGAUAGCCCACCCUUACGACAGUCGCUUCUGUAUUUCUGAAAUUUCAAAUAUUGUAAAAACAUCAAUAAAUGGGUGCUUGAUUACUAGGGUACCAUUUCUGAAAAUUUAUGUCAUGAUCAUAUAAAUUUGAUCUGCUGGUUGGUUUCAGAUUAAAGAAACAUCAACUAGGUAGUCUAAAUCUUACCUGUAGAUGGCUACUGACUUGAGCUGUAGUUACAUAUAUACCGUCAAUCUCCAAAAAUUCUCUUAUAUUGUUUGGCGUGUCGUCUGUAUUAGAAAAGGAAAAAAUAUAAGUGGCUAGAGCUUAGAAAGAUAGAAAAAUCACAAAAAAUGAGCUUUAUUUAUUUCAGGUCUAUCAUACUAAGUUCGCCCUAAAAAUUCCCUUGACUAUACAUACCAAUUGUAAUAAGAAAGCAUAUAAAUGAUCAGAGUUGGGCAACUAAUUCAAAUAAGGCAUGCAACGAGUAUUACAUAAGUGAAGGGAUCAUUGUUUUAAAUAGCACGCUUUCUCAACGCUAUAACGACACUAUAUCAUUUGGUGGGGCAUCACGCUAAGCCAUUUAGCACUAUUUAGCUCAUUUAGCGCGCUAUACCUCAAUUUUUUAUAAUAAAAUUAAAAUAUUAAAAUUUGCAAUAGGACAGGGAUAACUGAAAUCUUUCAGCAACAUACAAGCGUUCAUAAAAUCACCAUAUCAUUUCGUUUAUAAUGUGAUACAGAGAGGUACAUAUGCAUGUUAUGUGUUAUCAUAUUUAUCUAUAUUUGUCCAAAUACAGGCUUCAAAAAUGACAAAGAUAUAGAAGCAAUGAAUUUGUUAUGCAUUAAUGGACUUGCAAAUGAUAAGUUAUACAUGGGGAAAAAAGAAAACCUUUUUUGUUAAAAAAAUGAAUAAAUCCUGUCAAAUAUGUGAUAAUUUAGCUUGCGUAUACACGGGGGGUAAUUAAAGGGUCAAAAUGUUCUACAUGAACUAGACUUAUUUUGUAUUUGAGUAAACUGAAUUGCCUAGGUGUGUUUGUGAUACAAAUGUAUAGCUAAUUAGCUACAAUGUUUUUGGACAUUCUCUCUCUAUCUACCCCUUUCCCUCCAUCUCCCCCCCUCUCCUCCAUUACAAUAGCUAUGUGCAAAAUCCAUUUGCAAGCAUAAACCCCAAACGAAGUUAUCCACUCUAAAUCUCUGUCAAACACACACAAUUACAACAUUUUUGCUAACUCCAUUGUGCGUCCACUACCCCCAUGUGAACCAACAUGUAAUUUGUAGUGCUACAAUCAAUGAUUUUCCAUAUUUGGGGAUGGCACCUCUCAAAUGCAAUUUGCCUGGAUGGCUGACGCCAGCCUGUCAAAUCAUUUUAAACGGAGCCACAUAUGUGUUUAGUUGUGGUCUAGAAGGACGAACACAUAUGGUAACAAGACUGAAGAAAUUGGUGUCUUACAACCCUACUUAUAUUUAAAAAAUGGUUGAUCUUAAAGAUGUAUCUAUUUUUGGGUGAGAGGGCUUUCAACCAUUCUAGUCUUGGUACUCAAAUAUGGUAUAAAUUAUGUGUUCGCCACUCAUUCCUCAGUAUCUAGAAAUCAGAGGAUAGAUAUUGCAAUCUCGACUCCCUUUUCAAUGAAAAAAGUAGGAAAACUAGGGCAAUUUCCCAAGCUCACCCAUGGGGAUUCAUUGCCAUUGUCGACCUAGGUGAGGAAGAGGACGUAGAAUCUUUUUAUGAGCAACUGAACUGGCAUAGGAAACACGAGAGGCUUUUUGAAGCCUACAUACCAUCACACGAUCUCCAUGACCCAUGGUUCAACGGCGUGCCUCCUAAAGUAUCGCAUAUGGGAACCUUUAGGAUUUGUCGAAACCAAUGCAUAGUGCUUGCUAGAUGAAUCUACUUGCGAUAUUAGACGUAGUUCAAAGGUCGAAUCAUGGUUGUCAUGAACAAAGGACAAAGUUCAUAACAAUUCUUGCUCAAUUCUCACCAUCGGUACAUCUUCAAGCUGUAUCUAUUUUAGAAGAGAUUGCAUUGAACUAAUGGUGCGUCAUGUUUUAACCAAAACAUGGUAGAAUUUUGAGUGUUUGUAUGUAAACAUUCUCUAUGGCAGACAUGGAGGAUAGACACUGGAGACUCCGCUCCCAUGGAAAUGAAGAAAGUAUUAUAUAUAGGGUAGCUGCCUUGGCUCACAUCAAGGGUAUCACUCGAAUUGUUGACUUAGGCAAGGAUUGGCACUUUAAGAAGGUCUAGAAUGGCAUGUAAACUAGAACAUAGAUGACUUCCCAAUAUAAGUGAACCAUGAUAUGAUAUCACGUGCCCCUGCCUUUAUUCGAUGUAAUGCUAUCUGCCACCUCUCAUGCACAAACUGUUGGAGCAUGCAGAAGCCAACAAGUUGAGUACUUUUAGAAAAACCUCCUCAUGAGAUUUGACAUGUCCCAAAUGCAGGAACAUAGGGGUAAAAUGAUAUAAGGGAAAAGUUCAGAUCAUCUAUGUAUACAUUCUUAUAAAUAGAAGAUCUUAACAAGACAUCCAUUUCUUGUGAAUAAUAGUAUAUUAUUGAUAACGCAUGGUACCACAUACACAUAAUAUAUAACUGAGCUUACUCUAACCAACACCUUUUGUGGAAAAGUUGGAUGAAAUAUUAUGAAGCCUCAAUGGGUUGUCAAUGAACAAAGUGGUGCAACUAAGGAAGCUUCCUUUUCUCACUCGAAGCGUGUCACUUGUAUUGUCGAUAUAGGUGAUGAAGAGGUCGUAGAUGCUUUAAAAGUUGUCAGACUAGCAUAAUUGUGGUAACAUGGGUAACCACAUUUAGUGUUCUAGGACUUUAUUUCACAUACUGAGCUCCAUUUUUCUCAUGCAUGAUACAUGCCUAUUGAGACCAAUGUGUUAAACUUUUAAAUUUCACUAAGUAAUAUACAAUAAGGUCGUGCCUCACAAUGUUGCAGAAUUAUUUUGUAUGUAUUCUCCAUGAUCUAUAUGUCAUUUUAUUGUUGAUGUCCAUGCACAAAAAAACUAUGAAUGGCAAUUAUGUCACUACGUAUUGACUUACCGUAGAAAACAUUAUUUUACUUGGUAAGCUUGUAAGGCGUGGACAUUUGAGACAUCUCAAGGAAAGUAGGUGAGAAAAAUUGUCAAAACUGGAAAAGGGGGUGGACUGGGAUGAUGGAAUAAACAAACAUAAGAAAAAACCUUAUGUAUUAUUCAAGUAGGGUAGGUUAAUCUAUUUGUAUGUUUACUCAAAGUUUUGACAUAGGAAUGUAUGAUAAUGGGAUAACGGUAAGAGGUGUAUAUUCUUAUUGAUAUGUUCUAGCUAUAUUAUUAGCACCUCAUUGUACCACCCAAAUAUGGUAGGAAGUUCAUAUUCAUUACAUAGUGAUUGCCUUGGCAAGGUGGGGGGCAGAUAGUAGAGGUUUGAUAGAGACUUGUCAAUGAGGAAAGCCAGGAUAAUCAAGUCAACUACCCCCAGCUUACCCCAAGUGUGUCAUUGCAAUUGUUGUAGGUGGUAGACACUUCCAUAAGUUACCGAUCUAGCAUAGCCUUGGCAACAUUAGGGACAUAAUGAUAUUUGAAGACCAUUGGAUUGUAUACUCGCACAUUUUAGUCUUUUAUUUGAUGUAACUUGGUCAUCGUCUCCCAUGUGUGAGCCUCCUUGUCGAAGCUAGUGAGUGAAUGUUUUUAGUGAAGCCAAAUUGUCUAUUUAUUCAUAGUUUGACCAUGGGAAUGUAGAUGAAAUGUGAUAGAUAGAGAAAAUUUUUAGCAAUUUUUUGAUAUUCCAAUUGAUGGUGGAGUUGGAAUAAGUUAUACUAUUAUUUCUGAAUGUACUUGAUUAGUAGUAUAAUGAAAGUGCAUUCAUGCGAAAAGUUUUCCAUGAUAAAGCCAAAUGAUAGAUAUUGGAUUAUUAAAUUCCAUUGCAAUGAACAUACUAGGACAAGAGUGGGAUGUUGUGUAGGCUUGCCCUGAGGAGAUCAAGCCAAUGUUGACUUAGGUGAGUACAAGAUCAUAGUAACUUUUAGAAGCUACGGAACAUGAGUAAUUAACCAUCACACACUAGUAAUAUCUUGAGAUAUAUGAACCUAAACAUGUAUGACAUAAUGAGCUACAAGCUUUCCUCGAUGGACUGACACCUAUUGACUCCCCUGCAUGAACCAUUUUGGGCCAUGCUGAUUGUAACACGUCGAAUACUUUUGGAGGGAGCUUCUUGUGUUGGUAGAAUGGGCCUAUGAGUGUGGAUAUAUGGGAAACUAGAUUAAGGGUGAAAGUUCAUAUAUGAUAGUAGUGUACUCCAACUGAAGGUGUAUCCUUAAGAGAUAUCUAUUUUAGGUGAGUAUGUACUAGACUUCUGGUACCUUAUCGUACCAUCCAAAAUAUGGUAGAAUACUAUGUGUAUUUUGAAAUGAUGGAUCCAUGCUGAAUAAAUAUAUUGAAUCCUUUGAAACUAAAUUAUGUGUAUAGAAAUGGUCUAAAAGUAGAAUCAUAUGGGCUACAAGACUUUGGGAGGAGUAUUCAUAACAAUGGUACAUCUAUGAAUACAAGACAGAUCUUGAAGACAUAUCUGUAUUAGCUAUUGAAAGUUGGUACCUCGUGGCACCACCAAAAGGUGGUAAGAAAACUCAUGUUAACUGUUAACAAACUAAUAGUCGCCCAACAAAAGUAUAGAGAGUCAAACUGAACACGUCUGCCACUAUAUAGAAUUUCCCAUGUCCCUUCAUAUACUCCUUAUGUGUGUGAGCCAAACUCAACGGUAUCACCAUAGAAUCAAUAACCGCCUUUGAGAUGUGCUAAUGGAGCUAACUCUUUCCCAGGUUCCACCAUGGCAUGGUUCAUUGCUGCUGACACAUGAACUUGUUCUACUCAUGAUACUAUUGGGCAUGGGUCUGAGUGGAAGGAAUCCCAACACCAAGCAUUGACAUUGGUCUCUGUGCUCACUGAUCUCGUAAUAUUGGAGUCGAGAGGCACUGCCGCACGGUGUGAUCGUGUUCAAAUUUAUUGUUCCCAUAUUACCUUCAAGAACAUCUUUGUGCUUUUGUGCAAGAUCAAGUCUAUCCAACGGCGAUAUUCAUUGCAUUGUGAUGAGUUUCUUGUUCUAGGUGUGGUCUCUUGCAUCAUCUUUGAUCUUCGAUCUUCGAUGAUACAUACAAAGCACCUCCCUGCACCACAUGUGAUUGUUCAUGUGGUGGUGGCUGCCGUGCUCAUCGUCUAGGAAAUGAUUUGUCAUGGACAAUCUCGGCCCUCCUUAAUUUUAUCCAUAUGUAAAGUUGUAACAUCUGCAUGAUUUUAUUAUGAGAUUUUUUUACCAUACCCCUACUGCUAGGAAUAGAGUGAUAUACAUCUAAUCCCAUCAUUGAUUUAUUAGGGCAAUAUAGAACUUCCCUAUUUUUCAUAGAAAACAAAUUUCUUUGUUUGUAAGGGCCUAAUGGGAAAUAUUUCAUCCUAUAUUGUACAUACAUGGACAAAACCUCAAUCUCCUCUUUUCAUCCUCUUCAUGCUGGUUUGCUCUAUUCAUUUAGCUCCCACUGUGCUCGUCUAGCAUCUAGCCCCCCCCCCUCAAUGUUGCACGUCUGUGAUCUAGUCAAUGUCAUAGGCUGGCACAUCCAUGACCUCGCAACCGUUUGCAAGUUCAUGACCUUGUUAUUGAUCAGGGGUUCAAUUAUCUAAGCCCUAGCUGUAUUAUUGCAACGUAGAAAAUAUGUGGCAAUAAAAAUUUCUUCCAGGUGACAGCUGCCACAACUACCAAGCCAUCGCUGAAUUUGAAGCAUGCAUUAAUAUACAACUAAAAUUUUGAAUUUGAAUUGAACAUAGCCAAUCUACAAAGGGGAAUUUCCAAUGUAUAAUUCUCCAAAAAUUUGAUCAUAUGCUUAUUAACAAGCCAAUGGAUGAAUCGAACUUACGAUCAUAGAUAUCGUCGUUCGGCUUGUCGCUUGUUAUGUUGAUGCAGUUGUAGCAGGUCCUUUGCAGCAGCCACUUAGCAGCUCCACUGAAGUCACCACCAAACAGGCCAUUGGGCACCAAGAGUGGUGAAAGCACUCUGAACCACAUCAUGGCGGUCAUGACUCCCUUGGCACAUGUCAUGUACGUCGUCUCCAUGUGUUAUUGCGAGAUGAGAUACUUUCUGUAUAGCCUCCUCCUUGACGAUGAUGAGCUCCUCAUCUAUGGAAAAGAGGCAACCCACUAUCAAAACCUAAGAAGAAGUAGAAUGGGUGUGUCAGCUCGAUCAGCUAGCGGGCCAAAAACUAGGAUAUUCCCAAACUGUGCUAAAAUUACAUAUACUGCUUGCCACGAAUGAGCAGUGUUGUCUCUACUUCUAACCCAACUAUUCCACCAAUAUACAUCACAUUGGGAAGUUUGAUCUCCAUGGUUGAAUGGCAUAUAUUAAUUAUAGGGCACCAUAAAAGAGCACUGUAUUGUAAGGUCACAACAUAUGUAUCCUGACCAGUGACCUCCUGAAGGAGAUUUCAAGGGUCUGGUGUUGUAACGCCUUUGAAGUAAUAUAUUAAGAUUGGAAUCCUUUCUACCUUGUGAUUGUCUUGAAAAACUAGUCUCUUGUGGCUUGCAAGAAGAGAUGACUAACAUAUAUAAUUAGACAUGCCUUGUUUGAGAAUUAGAGUAGUUCAUAUAAAUAAUUGAAUUUUUAACCUAACAGAAGAUUUUCGAUAUGAUUAUUAUUCGAAAGGUCACUAGGGGGAAAGCCCAAAUGAACAUUUUCAUUAGCCGUAAUCAUGGCAGAAUAUCAGAGCUACACAGUUUUAGGCCAUUGACAAGCAGGCAACAACCAAGGAAAUGAAAGGUGCACCAGGGCAAGGCAGCGAAGCCCAACACCCAAAAUUCUAAGAUCGAUUAAUAGAUCAUAAGUGAGUGUCACCACAGACAAAAUAGGACAUUAAUGUCAAUUUUUCCCAUAAUAAUAGAAAAGGAGAGCAUGCUGGUUGCGAACAUCUAGGCAUUCUAGAUCUCCAAAAUGUUCCUGAGGAUGGCAAGGCAGACUAUGGGGUAUAGGCGAGGGUGAUCCGUGAGGUCGAGGGUGCUGAUAAGGCACACCACCUCCAGCAUGGUGGCAAUAGGCACAUUCAAUGCCCAAAUGGCAUGGACGUGGAGGCAUGCCUGAAGCAGGUGCUUCAAGGUUUCUUCACCACAACAAAAGACAUAUGCUACAGUGCAAAUGUUAUGGCGGUGGUGGAGAUGGGUAGUUGCUGAUGAUGGAAGAACCAAAGGAAUAAUUUACAUUUAUAGGGGUGUAGCUAUGCUAGAUCAUGGGGGGCGAUGGUGUCCACAACAUGCAUCGCCAUGCUUAAUUAAUACACCAUAUGUGCCAUGAAUGAGGCAUCGGAGAGGUGCAUGAUGCGAUGGUUUGACACCUUAGAUGAGAGUGAUAUCUUCCCCAACUCAUCACACAGGUUGCCAAUCUCGAUGUGGAUGACCGCAGAGAGACUAGUUAGUCGGUGGUCUUCAAUGCACAAAAGGAUAGACACAAUGCAUGCUUUGGGGCCGAUGAAGUGCGUGUAGAGAACGGGGAAGCAAGACUCAAGUCUCUUCACCCCACCAGAAAGCAAUGUGCUUCAUGUCUCCACGGCUUGUUGAUCUCCAUCCAGACGAUAUUGCACUUGGCACUAGGUACACUGGUGACAUGGUCCUAGAAAAUCGAUUGCUAUCUCUUCAUAGAGGCGGCAUGCGCUUCAAUAAGCUAUAGAGACCCAUGGUGUAGGUAGGUAGGGCAGUGAGGAUGGCUUCGACAAAAUUACCCUUGCCAACUGAGGAAAGCGGUGUGCCACACAACCUAGCAAGCCCUUUGUGUACAAGCGAAAUGGGAGGGAUCAGGUCGAUGAUAUGGGCUUGUGGAUGGAGAGCGGAGGCCCAAGUACUAUUGCGGGAAGCUGGACACCAGACAACCAAACACCGAGUCCAGUUUUUCGGCAAUCUCUAAUGCGACAUUGAGAGGAAUGAACGUGCACUUGUAAAAGUUGAGGGUGAGGCCGGUGAUUGUCGCAAAGAUGUCAUCCAAAUAUAGCGGCACUGGGCACGACAAUAAGGGGACGAGGGGGUGUUUGGUGGACAUCGUUGGCACCAAUGGUGAGGACGAGGAACUGGAGAACAUACACAACUAGGAUGAAGAGUUAGGGGACAAGGGAUCCCUUAAUGGAGCCCAUUUCGGUAGUGAUGCAAUUGUUGGGGAUACCAUUGAUGAUGACUACAGACUGACUUGACGUGUUGUGGUCCUAAAUCCACUUUCGCCCGAGGGAAGGGAAACCACUAUUGCCACCUAAGACAUGGAAUCUAAUGCUGCUUGAAGUGAAGCUUGAGCACCACCGCCGGCACACUGUACUUACUGAAGCAUUGCACGAGCUUCACGAGGACGAUGGAAUUUUCAAAGAUCCAUCGCCCAUGGAGAAAGCAUGGCUGCUCAAAAUGCACAAGGAAAGGAAUGUACGGCUUUUGGUGAGACAUCAUGACUCACGACAACAUCUUUGGAUGGGGGAGGGCAGUUUUGCAAUGAGAUGCGACAAAUAUUUGUCAGAGAAGUGGGAGUGUCCACCUUGAGCAGGAGGGCAAUGAAGGAUAUGUUGAUGUCGGAUAAUCAGCCUCCUGUUUGUAGAACAAUUUUGUGAGAGCAGUACGAUUGAGGAGAAGUGACCAUAGGCAUGCUUGAGGAAAAUCAGACAAUACCCAUUAGGGCUUGGAGUAGUGUCAGGCUUCAUUCCAAAGACAACUGCCUUGAGCUCGGAUGCAGAGAGCGGAUACACAAGCAACACCGCCUGGAAGGCAUCCAAGAGUGUGUGUGUCAUGAGGAGUUGGAGGUUAAUGUUGCCGUGAACCGAUAUCUUCGUGCCCGGGAGCGGAUGGUAGAAGUCGUGCAUUUCGUUUCGCGAUGGGCGCGGUGCUUGACCCCAUUAAGAUUGAGGCACGUGAUCUACUUGUUGCAGAAUUGGGUUGACACACGGCCAUGGAAUAAGUUGAAGUCCCAUCUCCGAGUUUGCAAAAGCAUAUUUUGCUCCUAUACCACCAAAAUUCCACACAACAGUGUUCAUGGGGGGCAAGGGAGUGUUUCACGAGGGAGAGUGCAAGAGGAAUUUAGGGUUAGGGAGACCAUCUUUCUCCUUUAGGUGAUCGUGGAAAAGGGUUGUGAUGUGACAGUUCUUGACGAUGACAUUGCGGUAUUUGAGCUUCUUUGAAAAAUCUUAAGCCCACUCUAGAUCCGCUUCAGAUGCAACCCGAGACAAUGGGUCGGCUAUAGGUCAAGGGCGCUACCGAAGUGGCAACCACAUGGAAAACAAGGUACCCAACCCAUUUCCCACUAAACCAGAAGAUGGUAGCACAUGGAACCGUCGUAGUAGUGAUGAUGACGAUAGGGAUGUGCCCGAAGGCGUGAGAGGGGAUGCAGGUGACUACAGAGUCCAGCAUGAUCGAGCACCCAUCGUUGUUCACAAGGAACGUAUCCAUCUUGACGUGUGUGGGGGGGAGGGGGGGUCAAGAUUUCAUCAAGCUAGACACGGUCGAGGAGAGGUAGCUCGAAUAAAGUAGCAGCGUCGAUGUAGUCAUUGAAGAGGAGGGCGUUGGUGGGCAUUGAAGUUGUCUUCUUUGUCGGAUCACGGGUUUCAGCAAACCCUUGAGGUUCGAACUCUGGGGUGCGCGCGAAGUUCUUUCCCUCCGACCGAUCUACGCCCUAGCUCGCUAAGGUCUCGCGGACGAACUUGACGCACUCGCAACACAAAGACACAAGGUUUAUACUGGUUCGGGCCACCGAUGUGGUGUAAUACCCCUGUUCAAGAAUUCAUCUGAUUAACCAGUUAACUUGCCGAUUAAUCCCUACUCGUAGGGUCACCGAGUAGCCGAUAAACUGAAAAAUCGCCCGAUUAAUUGAUUAAAUGGCCGAUUAACUUGCCGAUUCACCGAUUAAUCCCCUACUCGCCAGCCAAUCGAGCAGCUACCAGUUAACGAUUUCCUCAACAAUGUGUAAUGCCCUACUCCAGUGUGGUGGUGGUGGAUCACCUCUUGGGCUGAUGAUGAACCAAACAAGGGGAAGAACAGCCUCCUAAGGUUGAGGUGUUCUUGUGCUUGGUGUGCCAAGGGUUGGCCUUUUAUCAGAUCCUAUCUCCUUUGAUAUCUCUCUCUCCCUUCGAUCCCUCUCUCUAGGUGGUGGCUAGUCCUACUUAUAUAGGCCAUGGUCCUCUCCCCAAAUAUUAGUGGGAAGGGAGCCAACAACGGCGGCCAAUUUGAAAGGGGACAACUAGUACAAGCUGUCCUGACAAAAGGUGGUCUUCGCCUGCCAAAGGCUCUGGUGGUGACGCCGUGCUGGGCUCCAUGGUGACCUUCAUCCUGCCGUCCUUCUGGUCUUGGUCUUGUUGCACCGAUAUGGAAACCUUUUGCCUGAUGCCUCGGUACUCCGCGCCUACGCUUGCCUCCUUAGCACCAAAGAGGAAACAAGGACACUGCGCGCUGGCGCCCGCCUGGUGUCGAUCGUCAUGGCUCACGCCACGAGAGCCUCGCGAGGUUCGCCCCGCCUUGAUAUCUCCGCUCCUCACGAGGCAGCCUGGUGAGGCCGCUCCUAAGGAGGUCUUGGGACGUCCGCCUCGCGAGGCUUAGCCCCUCGUGAGGGUCUUGAAUGACUUGUUGAUGAUGAUGGGCCGUACAGACCUGCCAGCACAGCCACGCCAUGGGCCGCAGGCAAGCAAGUCUGGGGACCCCCAUUCCCAGAACGCCGACAAUCUUUCCGCACUUCAGCGUCACAAACAAAGUUAAAAUUGCCCACCGAGGCCCACAGCUGCCGAUGUGUUGCCCAUAGCAGCAAUAUUCUCUAAAAACACUCCUCUCUCUUGCCCAUUGCAUGGGCCGUAUGAGUUGGUGAUGGAGAAACAAACCCUAGAUGUGGGGCAGGAAAAAGGCGUCGAGAUGAACCCAGGCCUUUAGUUGACAAAACUAGGCCGAAGGCCGGAUCGUUCCAGGUGGCGUCGACGCUAGCAUGGCCUGGACCACAACAAAACCAGGCACCAUGUGAUCUCCCAGCAUAGCUCGCUUGGCAUGGCGUGGUGCGGUAGUGGAGAGGAAGUAGCACCAUCCAGGUCGGGGGAGGUUGGGAGCGGGGGUUGUACGGAGACUCGGGGAUGGGAAAGACAUGCAUGUUUAGGAAAACACGAAGGUCGGAACCUUGCAGGACGCCCUCCUCUGCCCAGAGCAACUAUGACGAAUGUAGAAAAUGGGAUCUCGGCAAUCUUUGACACGGUGGCUUAAGUAGAGGGAGUGGCCCUAGGGGCUAGAGAGCUCCGCUUGGUGAUAUGCUUUGGGAGAGGAGCGAGGCCCUUUAGUGGAGAUGGUUAGGGCUGGGAAGAGGCAAUCUAUGCGUAAGUGAGGGAGAUGUUCUUUUAUAUAGUGGAGGCAACAAACAUGCUAACCGAGGCUGGAGCAUGCGGUGCACAUGAGGAGGCGAGGUGUCAAGUGGUGGGGUGGAUGAAUCACAUGGGCUAGGGGCAGGGGCUAGGAAUGUGAGGGGGAGCGACCAUAUUAAUGUAGAUGAGACAAGAUGGGGUAGGUCACGGUAGUUGUCUCUCCUAGUCGCUACAACACUCAAGUGUUGGUGGUCCCAGGCAGCAGUGGGAACCAGAGCAACACUGCAGCCGUUGCCAAGGAACUUCCCAACUGCCAUAGACCCAGGAGCAAACGGCCCACUCCUGGAAGUGGAGCCCAAUCCCUAUGGCAGUAGUGCAGUUUGAACAGGGGAUGCGCAAUGGUCAAGGACGAGUGGAAGUGGAGGAGGCUACGACCAUGGUGUAGAUCAUUGUGGGAGAUAAUGAAUUGGCCACCGUGGGGCUCGCAAUAGCUUUUUGGAAGACAAAUCCAACACAAGUAGUCAUGAAAAUCGAUGCGAGGUAAGCCAAUCCAGAAUGUCAAUGCACCGAUGACCAAGAUGAGGUUGCGGUAGUCAAAGCAGGGGAAGGGAAAGGGCUACAGCACAACCGGGAUGUCAAAACAAAUUGGCCAUCGAGGGAGAGUAGAUGCUCCCGGACGAACCCCUAGAUGGUAGGUGCUGACCGGGACGGUGAGCACAAGUUGCUGGUCAAACGACUAGACGUGGACAACCAAGGAGGCCAGGAAUGGGUGGUGAAGCCAAUGUGAGUGGACUGGGGGAUGUGGUGAGGGCCCGGGGAGCAAGGGGAGCGCCGAGAGAGCGCACAUGCGGCGGGAGUGGAAGGGGGAGGGGGAUGACGGGGUGUCACAACCCAAGUCUACAGAGCUACCUAAACAUAACCAUCCACUCCUCCAAUAUACAUAUAUCAUCGAUUCAAUGAGUUACCACGCUACACCUACUAAUGAAAUAAUUAUUCUCAUCCAACCAAGCCAAAAUAUAUUCGAACCUACAAUCCCAUACUACUCAUAUGCAUCACAUGCAUAGAAGCUAUCUUAUAUAUACAGCUUGCAGAAAAGAGAACACUCUCGAGCUACUCGUGACCCUAUCACCUGGUCCCCACCCCAAGAGAGAUCACUCAUAUGUCAGCAAGUUUGGCCAUAUAUGUCUAUCUAGUAGUACCACACUAGUAGAACACGUAGUGAGCACCCAAUUAUUAAGAAUAAACUAUGUAGUAUGAUGCAUUUAUUAACAACAAAACAGAUAAGUAUGGAGAAAGAAAAGAUGGUCCACAUGUAGCUAUCCUGUAUUUGACCAUGCAUGCAUUUCGUAUGUAUCUCACGCACCUCCUGUUGUCUUUAGCUGGGUGACCGCAUUGACAAACAAUUCAUGCAUCUCUGUAGUCCACUCGACCUUUUUCUUCUUUGUGGUCCCCAGCUGCAGGCCGCCCUCGGAAGCCCCCUUGCCCUUGUUGGAAUCGUUCAGUCCUUGCCCUCUCUUCCUUGGCAUGUCAUCCAGAUGGACGCCUUGGCUGUGGCGAGGGUUAGGGUUCUCCGUGGCUGCGCCGGCGGCUUUGCGCCUCCACCGCACGACUUGCUGCCAGAUGAAGUAUAUCUGCAUGUCACGUAGGGGCUUGUCCAUCAAGUAGCAAGCGCCUUCCUGCAAUCCCCUUUCCCUUGUCUCCAUGGUCUCGUCGCCCGAGAACACUGCACAAAAGCAGCAUGCACAUCUAUCAGAUCUACAAUUUCAUCUAUGAGUAUCAAUAUGUGUAUAUAUAUGCCUACAAACAACCUGGAACAUGGAUAUGUUUGUGGCAUGUGUUUAUUUAUAAAAAAAAAAUAUGUGUGGCAUGUGUGAGGACUUACUAAGGACGACAGGGUAACGUUUCCCGACGCGCUUGACAAGGCCGAAGCCGUCCAUCCCUCGUCCCCGCGUCCGUGCGACGGUCAUGAUGAAGUCGAUCCCAUCCGGGUUCUUCUCCACCUCUUUCAGCGCAUCUGCAGGCGAGGCGCUGGCCGUCACUGCACCGAGGCGGCUGUCGGUCAGAACACAAAGAGCAAACUGAGGCAAGAGAUCCAAUAUUAAUGGACCGGACGACGUACCUUCGUAGCCGCCGCGCCGAAGCAUCUGCGUCAAGGUCUGGAGGCAGACGGGAUCAUCGUCCACAGCAAGGACCUUCAGCCCCUCUGUCCCCAUCAAUUCCGUGGUGGCCAUGUCCUCGUCGCCGUUCGCCAUCGCCGCUGCGCGCUCGGGUCACACGCGCUUCAAACUCUUGCCCGUCAGGGCCGAGCGUUGAGAGCGAGGAGCGUUGUGAGAGUGAGGAGCGUGCUCUCGCCUAGAAAAAGUAGAGCAUUCAGAGCGUGCUGAAACUGAAAGUCGAGGCCCAAAUAAACAGACACGUGUAUGCUCUACAGCAGCACCAGUAUGAAGAGACAAAACUUUACAGCAGCACCAGCAUGAAGAGACAAAACCAUACAGCAGCACCAUGAAUGCUAGCUAGCAUGCACAUCCGUUACAGUCAAACACGUAAAGCAUGCACCCAACCAUCUGUAUUUGUAUCAUUAUGAUUACAUAAUUAAAACGAAAGCUGAAAAGUGUACGUGGUGCAUCCAGAAACACUAAAAUAUCUACACUAUUAAUUUUUUUGUAUUAAUCAGCCAAGAUUUUUUUUUCGGGUGAUCAGCCAAGAUUUUUAAGAGAUACAAAACCUACAUUAACCAUGGUCAGGACAAGUGCCUGCAAGAAAUGGAUUGGCAUACCCCGCUUACCCCCUCAAAAAUAUACUGAAAGGUGAGUUUGUAUUCUCCCGUCCUUUCUUUGAAAAUGUGCUGCAUCUCCAAUCAAACCGGUGCCGUGUGAGAGGACAAGACACGGGGAAUCCUUCAAGUACAGGACCCAUGAUUCCUGAUCAAGAUCACACGAAGCAUGUCCGGUCCGGCGGAUGAUAGACACCCCUAGAAGCACGAACUAGUGAUGUGGGCACAAAACAAUGAGACAAAAACUAUAUCUUCAAGAUGGAAGCACUUUAAGUGUAAAGCACCCAACCGUCUCCAUUAGUAUUAUUAUUACAUACACCUGCAAAAAAGUAUUAUUAUUGCAUAAUUAAAACAUAAGCAAAAGAAGCCACGUGCUUCAUCCACAUACAGUAAAAUAUCUACACUAUUAAUAUCUAUCUAUCUAUCUAUCUAUCUAUCUAUCUAUAUCUAUAUCUAUCUAUCUAUCUAUACCUCUAUCUAUACCUAUACUAAUUACAGACUCCCUAAAAAUUCCCACGUUAAUCAGUAAUUAGGAACCGUUAAUCUCGGUGGGACCGAGUUAUUACGGUUUAGAUCAGCUGAUAUAAUCUCUUCAAUAAAAAAAGAUAUGAGUUUUUUUAGUUCGUAGGACCGUGUUAUUAGGUCUAAGAGUAAUUCAAUUCUAACAAAAGAUUAAGAACAAAAUUUAUCUAUCAGAUCAGCUGGGAGACGUCUGUGGCGAUUAGGAUCAGCUAGGAGACGUCCGUGGCCAUUAGAUUCACUAACAAAGUCUACGUGACCUACCAGCAUACGAAACUACUCUUGCCAAAAAAAAAGAAUCUCCGUAGCCAUACCUACAUCUCCAUGCCUCAUCAUCUCCAUAGUUCCUUGCCCUCAGGCCACGAUAAUCGAGGCAGAGAAGUCGCAGAAGCUAGCAGUCAACCAUAUCCUCCUCCUUAACACCGCCAUCCCCUCCCAUGACGCCGCCGUGAGAUGACGGAAGCAGGACGGUUAUCUGCCUUCCGAUUUAGCAUCUCUACUGCAGCAUAUUUCUUCUUUCCUCUCGUCCGCACCGUGCGCUGUCGGCUCCGGGUAUGGAAUGACGAAUACCCUCACGAUUGCAUGCUUGGUGUCCGAACUGUCCACACUACUGGCUCCGGAUAGAUGAGCUGGGUCGUUCCAGAGGUAUCCGCACUGUCCGCGCUCAUGAUUGCAUGCUUGGUGUUUCUCCUCUUCAUGCCUCAUUGGGGCCGUCUCCUCGAUCUUGCAACGACUGUGUAUUAUGUGAGCAUGAUCAAUUUUCUUGGUCUUAAUUCCUCUAUUAAUUUUGAAAUUUGUAGACAACCGGUUUCCAACUAUUUCUUGGAUGAGUGACAAUCGAACAGCAGUCUGCAGGUGUGUACAGUACCUACCACAUGUUCGGUAAAAUGCCAAAACCACAUUGGUCACACGAACGGGUAAGUGAAUACUCUAUUGUCACUAAUUGAUGAACUUUCUAAAACUUUUCUGAUUUUCUUUAGAAAAUUGAUGAACUGCUUUUCAAACUCAUUGAACUUUUGUCAAAAUCGAUGAUCAUUUUUGCCAAAUUCGUGAACUUCUUUUCAAAUUCCGUGAAGAUUAUUGAGUUAACAUUUUUUUCUAUUUUUGUAUUUUUCAAAAAUCAAUGUUUGAGCGCUCAACUAGUCAACUAUUGACCGAUGAACCAAACGAACAAUCAAUUUUGCGGCAGAGCGCUACUCGCAUUAUUUUGUCGGCCCAUGAAAGGGCAUGCUUGAGCUUUGGUAUCUCUAAAUAGCGCUGAAAACGCACAAUAGUAGCUCCCCUGUUUAACCGCCUGGGCUAUAUACCGCCCUUAUCAAUUCAUAUAGUGCUGGCGAAUAGCAAGGCACCGUUCGCUGCGUGCUGCAAGUUAAUCGAGGUCUGGUUUUCUAUGUUUUUAUUUUGUCUUUUAGCUUGUUAGUUGUUUUUUCAUCAGUUUUCUUUGAAUUUUUUAUUGUGCUUUAGUUUCUUUGUUUUCUUUUGUUUCUUUCUAGUUUUUUUCCUUUACUUCGUUUUUUUCUUUUUUUAUUUCUUUAUUGAUUUUUAUUGUUUUCCUUUUUUUCCAAACAUGCAUUCUUUUCCCUCAAUAUACAAUCUACAGUUUUAGAUCAUGCGUGAAACAUUUUUAUGAUACACUUUGGGCAUUUUUCAAAUAUAUGAUGUACAUUUUUGUUAAUAAUGAACACUUUUUUGAAUACACAGUAACAUUUUUUAACAAUACUCAUUGUAAUUAGUUUAAUGUUGUAAUUAGUUUAAUGUAAGCAAAUGUUUGUUAACCUAUGGGGACAUUUGUUUUACAUUGUAUAAAUACUUUUUAAAAUGUCACAAACAUUUAUUACUGAAUCAUUGGAAUUUUUCUUGAAAAUGCCUAGUACAUUCUUUAUUGGUAUGAAACGUUUUUUCCCGUACGCAAAAGAUUUUAUUUCAAUUGUAUAUUAUUAAAUGUGAGCAAGACAUUUUGAAAACCCAUGAAAAAUAAUUUUAAAUGGGAUGUACAUUUUUCUGAAUGUCCGAAACAUCAUGACUUAUGUGAUUUUUUAAAAUAUAUAUUGAACAAACUUGUAAUAAACAAUGAACAAUUUUUAUAAUAGAUACUAAACAUUUUUGUCAUAUAUGCUGAUCAAUAUUUUAAUACAUGUUGAGCAUUUUUUGUCUAUACAUUGUACAAUAUUUUGAUACAGAAUGCACAUUUUUGUGAUAUAUGCUGAACAACUUUAUGGUACACGAUGAACAUUGUUGUAAUAUAUGCUUAACAAUAUUUAAAUACACAUUAAAUAAUUUUUAAUAUAUACUGAUCAAUUUUAAAGUACACAAUGAACAUUUGUUCAAAGCGUGUUCAAUAUUUUCUUAAUAUAGGGUGAACAUUUCCUGAAAUGUACAAUCAACAUUUUUUGUAUAUAAACACACAAUGAAUUUUGGAUAAUAUAACGGAAAAAGUACUAAAAACCGAAAACAUGGGGCAUCGGGUGCCAAGUUUCAGUGAAGCCGCAUUGAUGCCGCUCAAAAAGAAAAAAAACAGAUAGCGGGCGUUUGAAUAGUAAGUGGACUGGCCCAUUAUCCACUAGCUUUGAUGUUUUUUCUCCAGUCCUUUUCCAGUCUUUUUUUAUUCAGCUAGUUUAAUAUUAAAUACUUUAUAAUUUCUAUUUAAAAAAUCAGGGAUUUCACAAAAUAUUUUUGAAUGACAGAAAUGUUCUUGAACUAAAAUCAUAUUAAGAAAUAUAAAAAAUUUCCAUCCAUUUUAAUAUAAUUUCCACUAAUUAGGAAAAAUCACGAUUUUAAAAUCAAUCGUGAUUUGGUAAAAUAUUUGUGCUUUAAAAAAUGUUCAUGGACAAGAAAAUUUUAAGUGCUUUCUAAUUUUUUUUCUGAAUUCAGAAAUGAUUAGUGAAUUAAAAAAAAAUAUGAAUUUGUAAAGUGAGUCGUGAAUGUUCAUAAAUUUGAAAGUAAUUUAACAAUAUAUUCGCAAAAAAUAAACUUGUUCGCAAUUUCUAAAAAUGUUCACGGAUUUAAGAAAUAUUCAAGAAUUUAAACUCUUGGAAUAUUAAAUGCAUCAAUUACAUAUAAAAAUCAAAUUCCGAACAUUCCAGAAUUCAAAAAAUAUGUGCGAAAUUUAGAAACAUGUAUUUUAAUAUUUUCAUGAAUUUUAAAAACAUAAUGAACUAAAAAAUGUCAUAGAAUUAAAAAACAGGAAUUAAAAAAUAUCGAUGAUUUAGAAAAUAUUUGAAGAUGUCCAUGAAUUUAAAAAGUGAAAAUGGAAAACAAGAAAUAAAGAAAAGAUAAUAAAAUACCAGAAAGAAAAAGAAAGAAAUUACAAAAAAUGAAAUGAAUAACCAGUCAACAAAUAACCAAUGAAAACACAUAGCUAAACAAAGCAAAACUAUGCCGGCCCAAUACCAUGUGUGCGCUUAGAUGAAGCCGCUGUUUUGUCUCUAACUAGCGACGUAGGUGUAAAAUAGGAAUCGCCUUAUCCUUCAGUGCACGAAAUAUGAAAGGCCAGAUCAUCUAUGGAUAGAUAUGACAAGUUAAAUAUCGUUCAUUUUUGGCAUGUUACACACUUUACGCACCCUCCAGCACUUGUAUCAAAAUAGAGUGUGAUGGCCAAGGGGUUUAUAGGUCUUCUACCAUGGCCGCCUUGAUUGCAGCCUGCUACAAGCCACUUGGCAUGAGUGACUUCUGUUUGCACUCGGCUUCCUCAUUGUAUUCCUUCACCAAACGGGACAUCCAAUGUUUAAUAUGAUCCUCCCAUGCAUAGUUCGAACCCAACCCUAGAGAGACCGAAGCUCAAAAUCCAGGGAAUCAAGAACCUUAGUGGUAUAUGAGUUCCACCUUAAGGUUAAUGAGACUAUUCUCGAUGAGACAUGGAAACAACUCAUCUAGCACACACCUAUUAUCUUCCGUCCCACGAUUCUCAACCUAUAAAAGAUGGACCAGACCAGGCUACAUCAUCAUAUCUUGUACAACUAUGUAACUUAUACAAGUAGAGGUAUAUACAAUUUGUCAACAACUGCCCAUUGUACGGGGGUGCUAGUGGUAGCAAAGCUGCAGAGGGGAGGGUAGUAGGCUAGACAAAGUGUAGUCAUCGUUGCACCCAAAAUUGUAUGCUAAUUGAGCACUUAACCAAUCCACUUAUGUGAAUCAUUACAAACUGAGAAACCCUUUUCUGUGUUUUGCGGGUCAUCGCAAAAUGAGAACUCCGUCCAUGAAUUUUCCUUGUACCCAAAAUUGUGUAACUAGCUAGCUACUUCUUUCUUUCAAUUUUGCUCGGGUCAUCCCUUGCAGGGCAAGGCGUGACUUCUUAGAGACGUUUAAAGUUCCAGUUGAUGCCACCAUCACAUUCCAGUGCACCCUCCUGAAGAUGCCGACGGCCCAAAAAUUUAAUUGUCUUGUCACCAACGACACAAACCGCACCUACUUCGGUUGCGCUGGUUGGAAAGCCCUUGCAGAUGCUUACAAGAUGGAAGCUGGGGAGAGAGCCACGUUCUACCUCGACUACGAUUGUGACGAGAUUAUGGUCUACUACAAGCCUGCUGGCAGCGAUGAUGGUUCACUUACUCCGGACUAUGACCCUAACUCCGCCCGCCGAAAAGUCGUAGUUAUCUAGUUGGCAUGCAUGAAAGGUAUCAUGUUAUUAUCACCUCUAUUUAUUUGAACUUGUACAUUCCUAUGUAUGUUACUUUGCCUACUUAAAUGCUAUCAUUGGAUCUAUUUAUAGUUGAUUUAUUGACUGUUCUUUAACUGGAUUAUGCUGUCAUUUUGGCUGAAAUCACUGUUGUACAGCUUUUAUUUCAAAUUUGAAAAUCAAAUUACUGGCGUCGACAAAACAUGGAUGUCACAACUGAUGACUAGUACUGCUGGCGUGGACAACGCGGCACGCCAUUACUGUCCAAAAUAUUGAUGGCCUAGGUGCCAACGCCAUCGCUAAUUUUUAACACUGAUGCCAUAUUGAUGGCAUCGGGUGUCCACGCCACCAAGGCUGUUUUUGGCAUGCCGUAGCUAGGCUUUUCUCCACUAGUGAAGUGACACCGGCCGCUGGGUGUCACCGGCGUGAUGGGACCGCACAUGUCGCCAUGCAUGAGUUCGAGCUGCUUGUCAGCUCUGUAAUUGGCCUUCUGGGGAACGGGGCAUGCCGCUGCUUGCCAGCGAGGCACGCCUCGCAGAGCUCGCCGGUGUGCUCGACGAGAGGGAGGUCGCGGACCAGUCCGCCGCACGCCAUCCGUUGGAUCUCCUCGAAGUGCAGGUGACUAAGGCGGCCAUGCCACUUCCAAGCCUCGCCGACAUGAUGCAGCGACAGACAUGCGGGAGGUACAGGGGUCAAAUCCAAUUUGUACAGGCGAUUUGACGCGCGGUGUACCUUUACCAGGAGCUUGUGCCGUGGAUCGAAGAUCGUCAUGUUCCCGUCGCGGAGACGGAUGUCGCAGCCGAACUCGUCCAUCUGCCCCACGCUCACCACGCUGCUCUUGAGACGUGGGAUGAAGUAGACAUUGGUGAGAGCGCGCUGCAUGCCGCCGUCCACCUUGAACACGAUCGUCCUGCAACCUCAGAUCUGCACCAUCGAGCCGUCGUCGAACCGCAUAGUGCCGAUGAUGUUCUCAUCCAGCUCGGCGAAGACACCGCUGUCCCCGGUCAUAUGGUUCGAGGCACCAGUGUCCAAGAACCAGGUGGUUCUUCGCCUGCUGCUUGUUGAGGAAGACAGGGAGUGAGGUGCUCGCCUCCCCCGUGGCCAGAGUCCCUGCCAUGGUGGCAUUGACGAGGACCGGUGCAGGAGUUUCGAGGCCUGCUGUCAUGACCGCAAGGGCCUCCACCGCGGUGAUCCCCGCCAUCUCCAUCAAGUGAAACGCCGGGUCCGCGUCCUCGUCGGCCUGCGCAAGGUGAGCUUCCUUGCGCUACUUCUUCUGCAUUCACUGGUCCAGUGCCCUUGGAUGCGGUAGUAGCGGCAUGUGUCUUUAUCUUGGCCGCUCUUGUCGACGUAGCCAGCGCCACGUCCGCACUGCGGGCCACCGCGAACGCCACCACAACGCCCACCACGGCCACCGCCAGAUGAUGAUCCGCCACCCCCCUGAAGCGAUCCCUUUCGUACGUCCUAGUCCUCCUCAGUGAGAAGCAGACGGCCGCCGGAAGACUCGGUGGCGUUGUCGGUGAUCUGAUCUUGCACGACACGGAGGCGACCCAUGACCUCGUCCAAAGACAGGGUGCUCACAUCGAGAAGGGUUUCGAUGGCGAUGGCAACCUGCGCGUACUAUGGAGGAACACCACGCAGGAACUUGGCGACAACGCUGGACUCCUGAACAUUGUCACCGAGGGAGCGCAGGUUCGCCACGAGGGUGAAGAUGCGCAUCGAGAAGUCGUCGAUCUUCUCCCUUGAACAGAACGAGAUGCCCUCGAACUCGCGUCGAAGCCACCGUGCGUUCGCCCCGAUCACGCGGGAGGCACCCAUGCGCUGAAACGCGAUCGCCUCCUAGGCCUACUUGGCAGUGGCCUUGGCGCCGAUCGGACUCACCAUGUCCGGCGGGAGAGUUCAUAAGAUCGCCGCCAUGGCCUUGCGUUAGUCAUGGAAAGGUGCGUCACCGGUUUCAACAACAUCCCACCAGCCCGAGGCCUACAGGUUUACCUUCAUGAGCAGAGCCCAUUCUGCGUAGUUGGUGCGCGUCAGCAUGGGGUAGAAUCCGGCGGAGCUCGUCUCCCGGAUCACCUGCUGGUACACCACCACCUCGUCGGCACAGAGAUUCCUGCUCCUGCCCCGGGACGGCGACGCCGCUCUCAUGCGUGGAGGGGUCUGCGAGCCCUGCCGGGCGUUCGAACCGUUGCCGCCGGACGACAUGGUCCCACACACGACUUGAAGCUCUGAUGCCAAGUGUUGUCGGAGAUGCCCGCCGGAGCACCUCCUACCUCUCUCACUCUCGCCCCUUCACUCUUUGAACACAGAUGAAGAAGAACAGAGACAAGUGGUUUUGUGCAGUGCAAGUUCUGCUGCUUUUCUUUUUCCUUGAUCCUUUAUUCAGUGAUCGAGAUUAAUGCCGAGAUGCUCGCAACAACCCCAUCGUGCAUGCGCCAUCCCACGGGCGAAGUCGUGCGGCUGGCUUCCUAACUGUUCAUACGGGACACACAACGAUCGUGCCCUUCGUGCGCUAACGGAAAACUGAAAAAAAAAUCUGAAACUACCGAACUUUCUGAAGAAAAACUAACACCUAUCGACUUGGCUGCCAUAGCAGUGUUAUUUUUGCGCAACUGAAGUAACCAACAAUAAUUCGCAAAAUGCACAACCUUCGACCACCUGUUAGGCAUAUUUUAACAUAUUGGACUUCCAAAUUUGCACUAUGAGGGCAGUACCUAGACAAUAUUCUAGGUGUAGUUUUGUUUAUGACUUUUAGAAUUCUCCCUGUUAUACCAUUUUGUUUGACAUGUUUCUUGUCAGUACAUCACUCCUCAGCUUCCGGUAAACUACGAAAAGAGCAAUAAUAAUGUUAGACUUAUUUUGUAAAAUCAAGAAAUACAUUGUACAUAUUCAUUUUUUACAUUUUCCCGUUAAGGGCAUCUCCAGCCGUUGGCCUCACAGGAGGGGCAAAAAAUCGCCCCCUGGGGCGCACCGGCGCUAAACCGCGCACUGGGGGCGUGAUGCCCCCCAGUUGCGGCCCCCCACGGGUUUUUAAAAUGUUCAAAUUCGGCGCAAACACAACGCAAACACGGGCAAGUUCGUUCAAAUUUAAACAUAUUUUACAAAAAAAGAAAAAAAACUACUGCGGGCUACCCCCGCCGUCUCCCUCGCCGCCCGCCUCGCCGCCCGCCCACGCGGUUCUACAUGCCAAGGAGGCUGUAGAACCGCGUGUAGUCGUCGUCGUCGUCGUCACCCCUGCCUACGCCUCCGUCGUCCCUGCUGCAUCCCUCCCCCGGUUGGCGCGGCGGGUUGGACGGUCCGGGGGCGUCGUCGUCGUCGCUACCGAGGACGACGACACCGUCCUCGUCCUCGCGCCCAUGUUUGCGGGCGGUGAUCUCCUCCAGGGCCCGGCGCUGCCGGAUCAUCUCCUCGCGCAGGUAGUCGUCGCGCGACCACCGCACGGCAUCCUCAUCGGAGAAGCCGCGUUGGGCUAUCUCCUCGUACUUCGGGGGGAGGUUGGACUCCACCUUGGGCUCGACGAGGGCGCCGGAGCUGCGGGUACGCGCGCUGACAGGCGUGUCAUGGGGCUCCGGCUUGACGGGGCGGAGGUGGAGGCAGGGAGAGCCGCCGGACGAGGAGGAGGACACCCCGGUCUCCAUGCGCCUCGACGUCCAGGAGCUUCCCCGGCGGCGUGAGAAGGACGGGGGAGCGGGGUACUCGAGGCGUGGCGUGUUGCCGCCCUCGAUGUACUCGAGGACGGACUCCAACGUGCGCCCGGGCACGCCCCACCACUGACGCCGGCCGGCGGCGUUGAACCUGCCGGAGGGCACGACGCCGUUGGUGGCCUCAAGCUGCUCGUCGUGCCGGCGGCGGAAGUAUGGCUCCCAGAUUGGGCUGUCGGGGACGUACCGGGGCCCCUCCCUUGCCGCACGCGGCAGGGACAAGCGGAUGCGUGCGAUCUCCGCACGCCGCGCCGCGCCGGUAGGUACCGGGGGCACCGGCACGCCGCCGGCGUUGAUCCUCCACGCCCCGGGCACCCGCAUGUCCGGCGGGACCGAGUACUCGGCCUCGAAAAGGAGGCGAGCCUCGUCCUCGUGCAGAUGACGGCGCCCGAAUCCGUUCGCCGCCGCGCCGUCGCCUGGGAAACGCUCGGCCAUGCUUUCUCAACUGGUGACGGCGAGAGGAGGAAAGGGGGAGAAAUGAGCGCGUCGUCGGUGGAUGAUCGGGGUGAGUCUCUCCGGCGCGCUUGCAGUCGGCUUUUAUAGGCGGAGACGCCGCGCGGUAGGCUUGGCCGGCGCGUUAUGCGUGGCGUGAUUGCGUGGCGGCCGAGGGACGCGUCGCCCAGCCUUCACUGCGCCGCCCGUGAGGCAUCAAGGGAGGCUGACCGGCGCGGCAGCGCGCGGCAGCUUUGGCAUUGAUUCGCCACGGGAAACGAGGCGAUGAGGACGACGAAGUGGCGAAAAGAGAGUAGAGUCGCUGACGCGGCGGGCCCGCGGCUCUUCGCGCCAAAAACGAUUCGCCCGGCGCCCCUGAGCGACCCCCGGCGCGCCGGGUUCGGGUUGGGUCUGCCGGCGCCAAUUUCGACCCGAGCCGGCGAAAACUGGGCUCUUCGGGGCACGACUGGGCCGAUUUUUUGGCGCCGGCAGACAAAAAAACGCCUGGGGGGCCUUUUUGGGGGCGCGGCUGGAGAUGCCCUAAGGUUGCCGAAAUUAUCGUCACAAUCUUGCAAUUUUACCAAUGGUGACAGCCAUCUUGUCUAGCAGUGCUAUGCUGCUGCGAUACUGCUCAUUUGUGGGAGCAAUAUUGGUCAACUUUGACCCUCGGGGUGUACCCAUAAAAUAGGACGAACGGUUGCAUUUUAUUACUCUCACGGGUGUUGCAGCUGCCUGUUUUCAUCUGAAUAUUUGUUCAUGCGAAAAUAAAUAUCUUGAAUAAUCGCCUAAACCUAUGUUGCUUCGUUGGUGCCCAUGGUAAGGAAUUGAAUGAGGGUCUGGCCAUGGUUGUUGUUCUUAUUUUAUAUUUUGUGCAAGAUAAGAGAGUGUUAUAAAACUAUAUUUAUCUACUAGGUAAAUCAAACUAAACAUACAUUUACUUUUUAUUUAUCUGCGCCAUACGGAAAUGUUGUGGAAUGAACCAAGAUUGUUAUAGAUCCACUACGGUUGCAAAAUAGAUACUGGAUGAUAUUUAUUUUUGAAAUAUUUUGUUUUGAGAGAAAUUUGUAAUAACACUAAAGUACUUCACAAAAAUCACAACAGUAGCCAACAACAGUAUACUAUGAUCACACAAUUUUUAAAACUGAUAAUAAUUCAUGCGGUGAGCAUCCAGUAAGCUUGCAUCUUUGUCCAUCACUAGGUUACCAUCUUCAUGUUUGGACUUAACACCAAUAUCACUCAUGCAACAACUCUUGGUGCAAUCAAUUUCUCCCUUAACUGCAUAUAAAUAAAUUAUCAAAAUAUUCAGAAAUCUAGAACACGCAUACAUAUUUAACAGUGUCAUCUGACAUAAAUGGUAACAAUCAGUAAUUAUGAAUUUCUUGUACUUCUGAUUUUUACAAGAAACAUAAUGGAUAGUUCAGAAGUUGCCUAAAUCUGAGAGGAUAUUAAAUUUCACUCGAGCCCUGCAUUCUGAAAAAGUUCAGGAGCAGAUAAUGAAAGCUCUUAAUGAUUAGUAAAAUUGUUGUUCAGCGGUGCUCAAUCCCCUUUUUCCGUUAUUUGGAGCCAAUUAAGUAACACACAAUGUGUUUCAUGCUUGGAGAACAGUAAAUAUAAUUUCUAAUUGCUUCAUCCUUUACAUAAUAAAGUUACUUCACAAAUUAGUGUAAAAAGAAUUGUAACUCCAUCAUACUGAAAUCUGCUACACACGGACGUUGUAAAGCAUCUUCACUGAAAAUUUAAACAUGUAUUUGUAGUGCGUAGAAUGACAUCAAUUGCAAGAUCAUGUGUAGGUCCCAGCGUACCUUCUAUAGAAAAUUUUAUAUUAAAACAAAGAAAUCAAAAACUUACAUUUUUGUGAUUCGAAGACCCAUUAAUCCAUUUGACUACCUGCAUAGUUGUUCAGAUAAAACAAAAUAAUGUUAAAAUGUUACAUAGACGCACACACAUGGUACAUGUGUUAGUAAAAAAAUUGCAGCAAUGCUCUUGCCAAGGAAAGACACACAUGAACGGAGGUGAAGGGAGCCGAGAGAAACAUCACAGCGACGGGGCACGGUGGCAGCAAGGAUGAUGAGAUCAGAUUAGGGUAGCAGAGGGAGCUAACAGUGAUCGUGAAGGUGGCUGAUAGACAUUGGCCCUUGUGAAGCAAUUAGUCCAACAGUUUCGGGUGAAAAUGCAUCCCGAAUUAAAAGAACAUGGAUGUGAAUGGUCUUUAUGUUACCCCCGUUGAAACUAAACGGUAAGAUGGGGCUAAUGCUGCUCCCCCUAGUAGUAAAAUGUACCGUAAAAAGGCUCUGUACAAAAGAUUUUUGUGAUGGAACGGGGUGCAAGGGUACAGGAAAAAUGGUGAAAUUUUGAAAGGGACAAUGAAACGAAAACACCCAUGCAUGCAAAUAUAGAGAACAGUACGUACAUGUGCUUCGCAAAGUUUUCUUAUUCCUCCAUAGUUAGCCCACCUCCACCUGAUGUGCCGGCUGUUUCAGAACUAGUGUUGCCCCAGUUGAGAAAAACACUGUCAAGGUUUUUAGGCUGCACUGCGCUGGUCUGGCCAGCAGAAGCAUCUCCACGCAUUCCAUGUUGUACUGCUGGUGCUAGGUUGGACGACAAUGAUGCACUUACCAUGCUUCCACUUGUUAUAACUCCACCACGACCCUCAUUACCAUUACCAUAACUAUUAUCACUAGAAUUACCGUGAGGAUAACCAUAAGAUUUAUUAUUGCCAUUACCAUAAUGAUGAUCAUAAUCAUUAGCACUGAGAGUAGCAUAAUGAUGAUCAUAACCAUUUAUGUCGCCAAUGGCAUUACCAUGAUGAUAACCAUGACCAUAAGCAGCACCUGCACCAAGAUUAGUUGUGUGGUUCCCAUUUCCAAGAAUGACAUAGUCAACUUGUGAUGCACCACCGCUUAGCCAACUGGUUUGGUUAAUAUCUCUUGCUCCCUGGGACCUCAUAUGGAAUCUGUAACUUCCCUCACUUUCUUGAGAUUCCGAAGAGUUCUUGGAAGUAUUAUUAGAAUGUGGUGGCCUAGAGCUUGGCAUGGUUGAUAGCCCACCCUUACGGCAG
RNAcentral lists this long non-coding RNA (27011 nucleotides) under Triticum aestivum (bread wheat). RNAcentral describes it as "long non-coding RNA (TAES_LNC009559)". The record is from RNAcentral. Lineage: Eukaryota; Viridiplantae; Streptophyta; Magnoliopsida; Poales; Poaceae.